This is a small nucleolar RNA of Erigeron canadensis, 89 nucleotides long. The record is from RefSeq and is a predicted model, not a curated record. NCBI's taxonomy places the organism in Eukaryota, Viridiplantae, Streptophyta, Magnoliopsida, Asterales, Asteraceae.
ACUCAAUGAUGAUUUCAAGUAUAGAUGACGAGUCUGAGAAAUCCAUUCAAUUCAUUAUGAGGACUAUUCGAGGCAUUUGUCUGAGAGUU